UACGUAGGGAGCAAGCGUUGUCCGGAAUCAUUGGGCGUAAAGCGCGCGUAGGCGGCCCGAUAAGUCCGUUGUGAAAGUCAAAGGCUCAACCUUUGAAUGCCGAUGGAUACUGUCGGGCUAGAGUCCGGAAGAGGCGAGUGGAAUUCCUGGUGUAGCGGUGGAAUGCGCAGAUAUCAGGAGGAACACCGAUAGCGAAGGCAGCUCGCUGGGACGGUACUGACGCUGAGGCGUGAAAGCGUGGGGAGCGAACAGG
RNAcentral lists this ribosomal RNA (253 nucleotides) under uncultured bacterium. RNAcentral's name for it is "partial 16S ribosomal RNA". It matches the Rfam family "Bacterial small subunit ribosomal RNA", at positions 524 to 776 of the family's 1533-position model. The record is from RNAcentral.